Molecule: unclassified non-coding RNA, 412 nt
Filed under: Bacillus subtilis
Lineage: Bacteria; Bacillati; Bacillota; Bacilli; Caryophanales; Bacillaceae
Description: cspA
Source: RNAcentral
CCCUUCUUUUGAAAAAUAAGCCGUUUCGCAACUUGACGGGUGCUCCCAGAUGGUGUAUAGUUGAACCAUCAUUUAACAAUGAAUCAAAGUUAGAUGAUGACAAAAUUUUUUUUAGCACAUGGGUGCUACAGUACUAGGAGGAAUUAAGCAAUAUGCAAAACGGUAAAGUAAAAUGGUUCAACAACGAAAAAGGAUUCGGCUUCAUUGAAGUUGAAGGCGGAGACGAUGUAUUUGUUCACUUCACAGCUAUCGAAGGAGAUGGAUACAAAUCAUUAGAAGAAGGACAAGAAGUUUCUUUUGAAAUUGUCGAAGGUAAUCGUGGACCUCAAGCUUCUAAUGUUGUAAAACUCUAAACUCAAUACAUGAUGAUGAGAUGACAAAUAGAGGAGAGGCAUUCGCCUCUCCUAUUUGA